RNAcentral lists this ribosomal RNA (260 nucleotides) under uncultured bacterium. Its description in RNAcentral is "partial 16S ribosomal RNA". It matches the Rfam family "Bacterial small subunit ribosomal RNA", at positions 524 to 777 of the family's 1533-position model. The record is from RNAcentral.
UACGUAGGGUGCAAGCGUUGUCCGGAAUUAUUGGGCGUAAAGAGCUCGUAGGCGGUCAGUCGCGUCUGCUGUGAAAACUCGGGGCUUAACCCCGGGCCUGCAGUCGAUACGAGCAAACUAGAGUGUUGCAGGGGGAGACUGGAAUUCCUGGUGUAGCGGUGGAAUGCGCAGAUAUCAGGAGGAACACCGAUGGCGAAGGCAGCUCGCUGGGGACGGUACUGACGCUGGAGGCGCGAAAAGCCGUGGGGGAGCGAACAGGG